RNAcentral lists this ribosomal RNA (433 nucleotides) under uncultured bacterium. RNAcentral's name for it is "partial 16S ribosomal RNA". It matches the Rfam family "Bacterial small subunit ribosomal RNA", at positions 29 to 507 of the family's 1533-position model. The record is from RNAcentral.
AACGAACGCUGGCGGCAUGCCUAACACAUGCAAGUCGAACGAGACCUUCGGGUCUAGUGGCGCACGGGUGCGUAACGCGUGGGAACCUGCCCUUAGGUUCGGAAUAACUCCCCGAAAGGGGUGCUAAUACCGGAUAAUGUCUUCGGACCAAAGAUUUAUCGCCUUUGGAUGGGCCCGCGUUGGAUUAGCUAGUUGGUAGGGUAAAAGCCUACCAAGGCGACGAUCCAUAGCUGGUCUGAGAGGAUGAUCAGCCACACUGGGACUGAGACACGGCCCAGACUCCUACGGGAGGCAGCAGGUGGGAAUAUUGGACAAGGGGCGAAAGCCUGAUCCAGCAAUGCCGCGUGAGUGAUGAAGGCCUUAGGGUUGUAAAGCUCUUUUACCCGGGAUGAUAAUGACAGUACCGGGAGAAUAAGCACCGGCUAACUCCGUG